RNAcentral lists this ribosomal RNA (497 nucleotides) under uncultured bacterium. Its description in RNAcentral is "partial 16S ribosomal RNA". It matches the Rfam family "Bacterial small subunit ribosomal RNA", at positions 28 to 507 of the family's 1533-position model. The record is from RNAcentral.
GAUGAACGCUGGCGGCGUGCCUAAUACAUGCAAGUCGAGCGAACGGACGAGAAGCUUGCUUCUCUGAUGUUAGCGGCGGACGGGUGAGUAACACGUGGAUAACCUACCUAUAAGACUGGGAUAACUGCGGGAAACCGGAGCUAAUACCGGAUAAUAUUUUGAACCGCAUGGUUCAAAAGUGAAAGACGGUCUUGCUGUCACUUAUAGAUGGAUCCGCGCUGCAUUAGCUAGUUGGUAAGGUAACGGCUUACCAAGGCAACGAUGCAUAGCCGACCUGAGAGGGGGACGGCCCAACCUGGAACGAGGACACGGUCCGGACUCCUACGGGAGGAAGCAGUAGGGAAUCUUCGGAAAUGGGGGAAAGCCUGACGGAGCAACGCCGCGUGGGUGAUGAAGGUCUUCGGAUCGUAAAACUCUGUGAUUAGGGAAGAACAUAUGUGUAAGUAACUGUGCACAUCUUGACGGUACCUUAUCAGAAAGCCACGGCUAACUACGUG